Molecule: ribosomal RNA, 771 nt
Filed under: Triticum aestivum (bread wheat)
Lineage: Eukaryota; Viridiplantae; Streptophyta; Magnoliopsida; Poales; Poaceae
Description: partial small subunit ribosomal RNA
Source: RNAcentral
AUGGCGGCGCUUCGACGGCGGCCGGUGGAGUCUCCGACAGCGCGGUGGUGCGCGACACCGUGUUCCUUGUUGAGAACCAGAUACCUCUCUUCGUGCUUGAGAAGAUCCACGAGCACAUCACAGGAGGCGCCAGCAUGUCCGUCCUCGGAAACAUCGCCGUCUCUGUCCAGGAGCUUCUGCAGGCACAACUCUACAUCAGCAAGAAGCUACGGCCGGCGCCUCAGCAGGCGUCCCACUUGCUCCACCUCGAGCACGGCACGGCGCACCGGCCGGUGGCGCCGGGCGACGGAGUACGGCAGGUACGGCGGCAUGCGGUUCAAGCGCCGGGCCUUCGUGAGCGGGGAGGAGUGGACCGUCCUCGACGUGCGCCUUAAGCGAGGCACGCUGUGUGUCCCCCACCUGCGGGUCGACAGCAACACGUGGGCCGUCCUACGUAACCUGAUGGCGCUGGAGGAGCACGUCCCACGGAGGCCCGUCACGGCGUACUGCAUCUUCAUGUCGCAGGUGGCCGGUACGGUGGAGGACGUCAGGCUACUGGUUAACGCGGGGAUUGUGGAGCACUUCCUGCCGAGUGACGAGCAGGUCGCUCAAGGCUUCGCGGACCUCUGCAAUGGGGUGGUCAUGGACGUUGACAACCUUCACCGGAACUACCUCAAGCCCAUCUGGCACAAGCUGCAGGAACGCUGCCAGAGCCGCGUGUUUAGAUUCAUGGGAUGGUUCCGCCAUGACCGGCACCUCUGCGAGAGUGAGCUUUAUUGUUUCGUAGGUUGA